GCAUAUCAAUAAGCGGAGGAAAAGAAACCAACAGGGAUUGCCCUAGUAACGGCGAGUGAAGCGGCAACAGCUCAAAUUUGAAAUCUGGCGUCUUUGGCGUCCGAGUUGUAAUUUGCAGAGGGCGCUUUGGCAUUGGCAGCGGUCCAAGUUCCUUGGAACAGGACGUCACAGAGGGUGAGAAUCCCGUACGUGGUCGCUAGCCUUUACCGUGUAAAGCCCCUUCGACGAGUCGAGUUGUUUGGGAAUGCAGCUCUAAAUGGGAGGUAAAUUUCUUCUAAAGCUAAAUACUGGCCAGAGACCGAUAGCGCACAAGUAGAGUGAUCGAAAGAUGAAAAGCACUUUGGAAAGAGAGUUAAAAAGCACGUGAAAUUGUUGAAAGGGAAGCGCUUGCAGCCAGACUUGCCUGUAGUUGCUCAUCCGGGUUUUUACCCGGUGCACUCUUCUAUAGGCAGGCCAGCAUCAGUUUGGGCGGUUGGAUAAAGGUCUCUGUCAUGUACCUCCUUUCGGGGAGAACUUAUAGGGGAGACGACAUGCAACCAGCCUGGACUGAGGUCCGCGC
This 559-nucleotide ribosomal RNA is filed under the name Epicoccum plurivorum. RNAcentral describes it as "eukaryotic LSU rRNA". It matches the Rfam family "Eukaryotic large subunit ribosomal RNA", at positions 38 to 600 of the family's 3401-position model. The record is from RNAcentral. Lineage: Eukaryota; Fungi; Ascomycota; Dothideomycetes; Pleosporales; Didymellaceae.